ACAAAACAGUGGAGGAGGGGUGAAUUUGGUCUCCGCCUGGGUGGAGGAGGGGUGAAUUUGGUCUCCGCCUGGGCCAGGACGUCCAUCUUCUGCCCUCGGACAACAGCGUUCCUGGUUUUCAGACUUUCAGACCUGGACUGAACUAUGCCACCACCUUUCCUUGCUCCCCAGCUUCCAGAUGGCAGGUCAUAGGACUUCUUGGCCUCCUUAAUCACAGACAAUUAGAGGUUUAAACUCUGGAAUGUGUGUUCUUCAAAGCAAAAGAAAAUGCACACAGAUCCAUUGGGCUCAACGUGACCUUCAGUCAAGGGCUUCUGAAUUGUCUUCAAAGGAGGAAAAUAGGGCGUUGUGCAUCACUCUCAGGAUAGUUUAAUCGUGAACUGAACUUCACAUAAAAGCAAAGCACCUUAAGAUGCUCCUCCUCGGGGCACCUGUGUGGCUCAGUCGGUUAAGCUGCCAACUUCAGCUCAGGUCAUGAUCUCGCGGUCUGUGAGUUCAAGCCCCGCGUCAGGCUCUGUGCCGACA
This is a long non-coding RNA of Felis catus (domestic cat), 525 nucleotides long. RefSeq lists it as uncharacterized. The record is from RefSeq and is a predicted model, not a curated record. NCBI's taxonomy places the organism in Eukaryota, Metazoa, Chordata, Mammalia, Carnivora, Felidae. The transcript has 4 exons.